Molecule: ribosomal RNA, 511 nt
Filed under: uncultured bacterium
Lineage: Bacteria
Description: partial 16S ribosomal RNA
Rfam family: Bacterial small subunit ribosomal RNA
Source: RNAcentral
GACGAACGCUGGCGGCGUGCUUAACACAUGCAAGUCGAACGAAGAGCGAUGGAAGCUUGCUUCUAUCAAUCUUAGUGGCGAACGGGUGAGUAACGCGUAAUCAACCUGCCCUUCAGAGGGGGACAACAGUUGGAAACGACUGCUAAUACCGCAUACGAUCUAAUCUCGGCAUCGAGGAUAGAUGAAAGGUGGCCUCUACAUGUAAGCUAUCACUGAAGGAGGGGAUUGCGUCUGAUUAGCUAGUUGGAGGGGUAACGGCCCACCAAGGCGAUGAUCAGUAGCCGGUCUGGGAGGAUGAACGGCCACAUUGGGACUGAGACACGGCCCAGACUCCUACGGGAGGCAGCAGUGGGGAAUCCUCCGCAAUGGACGAAAGUCUGACGGAGCAACGCCGCGUGAGUGAUGACGGCCUUCGGGUUGUAAAGCUCUGUUAAUCGGGACGAAAGGCCUUCUUGCGAAUAGUGAGAAGGAUUGACGGUACCGGAAUAGAAAGCCACGGCUAACUACGUGC